GAUGAACGCUGGCGGCGGGCCUAAUACAUGCAAGUCGAGCGAACAGACGAGGAUUUCUCCUCGCUUCCGUGAGCGGCGGACGGGUGAUUACUACGAGUCUACCCGACCUUUAGGGCUGACGUACGUACGGGAACCCUGAUCUAAUACCGGUUCAUAGAUUGAACCGCAGGGUUCAUUAGAGCAAAACGUUUUUGCUGUCACUUAUAGAGGUUUCCUCGCUGGAUUAGCUAGUUGGUAAGGUAACGGCUUACCAAGGCUACGAUGCGUAGCUGACCUGAGAGGGUGAUCGGCCACACUGGAACUGAGACACGGUCCAGACUCCUACGGGAGGCAGCAGUAGGGAAUAUUCCGCAAUGGGCGAAAGCCUGACGGAGCAACGCCGCGUGAGUGAUGAAGGUCUUCGGAUCGUAAAACUCUGUAAGUAGGGAAGAACAAAAGUGAGAGAAAAUAUGCACGUCUUGACGGUACCUAAACAGAAAGCAACGGCUAACUACGUG
This 497-nucleotide ribosomal RNA is filed under the name uncultured bacterium. RNAcentral's name for it is "partial 16S ribosomal RNA". It matches the Rfam family "Bacterial small subunit ribosomal RNA", at positions 28 to 507 of the family's 1533-position model. The record is from RNAcentral.